CCUGCCCAUUGAAUUUUAAAAGGCCGCGGUAUUUUGACUGUGCAAAGGUAGCAUAAUAAUUAGCUUUUUAAUUAAGAGCUUGUAUGAAGGGUUGGACAAAGAAAAAACUGUCUUUAAUUUUAAAUUUGAAUUUAACUUUUAAGUGAAAAGGCUUAAAUUGUUUUAAGGGAAGAUAAGACCCUAUAAAUCUUUAUAUAUUAUUUGCCUUUUUUAGGUAGGUGUAAAAAAAUUAAGAAGAAAAAUGUAUUAUGUUGGGGUGACGAAGAUGUAAAGUAGAAAAAUUGUCUUAAAUUACAUACAAAUAUAUUUGGUUACAGUAAAAGAUCCUUUAAGUAGAGAUUAAAAGUUCAAGUUACUUUAGGGAUAACAGCGUAAUUCUUCUUGAGAGUUCAUAUCGAAAGAAAAGUUUGCGACCUCGAUGUUGAAUUAAAAUUUCCUUAUGUUGCAGCAGGCAUAAAGGAGAGUCUGUUCGAC
Molecule: ribosomal RNA, 474 nt
Filed under: Munidopsis levis
Lineage: Eukaryota; Metazoa; Arthropoda; Malacostraca; Decapoda; Munidopsidae
Description: partial 16S ribosomal RNA
Rfam family: Archaeal large subunit ribosomal RNA
Source: RNAcentral